GGUGAGGUGGCCGAGAGGCUGAAAGCGCUCCCCUGCUAAGGGAGUAUGCGGUCAAAAGCUGCAUCCGGGGUUCGAAUCCCCGCCUCACCGCCA
RNAcentral lists this transfer RNA (93 nucleotides) under Escherichia coli. RNAcentral's name for it is "tRNA-Ser". It matches the Rfam family "tRNA". From Rfam's summary of the family: Transfer RNA (tRNA) molecules are approximately 80 nucleotides in length. Their secondary structure includes four short double-helical elements and three loops (D, anti-codon, and T loops). Further hydrogen bonds mediate the characteristic L-shaped molecular structure. tRNAs have two regions of fundamental functional importance: the anti-codon, which is responsible for specific mRNA codon recognition, and the 3' end, to which the tRNAs corresponding amino acid is attached (by aminoacyl-tRNA synthetases). tRNAs cope with the degeneracy of the genetic code in two manners: having more than one tRNA (with a specific anti-codon) for a particular amino acid; and 'wobble' base-pairing, i.e. permitting non-standard base-pairing at the 3rd anti-codon position. The record is from RNAcentral. Lineage: Bacteria; Pseudomonadati; Pseudomonadota; Gammaproteobacteria; Enterobacterales; Enterobacteriaceae.